GCACUAUAGUGUAGUGGCAAUCACUCAGGAUUUUGACAUGAUAGUUUCCUGAAACCCAGGUUCGAAUCCUGCGCCUUUGGAGUA
Molecule: non-coding RNA, 84 nt
Organism: Irpex rosettiformis
Lineage: Eukaryota; Fungi; Basidiomycota; Agaricomycetes; Polyporales; Irpicaceae
Source: the annotation of a GenBank genome assembly